Arachis duranensis is the source of this 520-nucleotide long non-coding RNA. RefSeq lists it as uncharacterized. The record is from RefSeq and is a predicted model, not a curated record. NCBI's taxonomy places the organism in Eukaryota, Viridiplantae, Streptophyta, Magnoliopsida, Fabales, Fabaceae. The transcript is spliced from 4 exons.
UCACUAUUGAUGUCUUUGUUAUUUAUGGUUAUCUUUCAGCAGUUUGUUGAACUACAAUUCCCAAAUUCACAUAUUUUUUGUUUAUUAGGCAGUCAAUGACAAGCAAAAUGAAGCCAUCACAGCUGCAUCUAAUGAGUUGGCCAAAAGAAAAAGCGAUCUUGAAGAAAAUAUAAAACUUUCACAUGAUUUAAAAGUCUAGGCGCAGCAUGGAAUGUUGCUAAUGUGACAAAAGGAUCAACUGGGGUGAUAUUUGGUCUCGGAACUGUUGGCCUUUCUGUUGCACAAGGUGCAAAACUAAGGGGAGCAUCUCGAAUAAUUGGCGUGGAUAAGAAUCCACAUAAGUGUGAAAAAGCAAAAGCUUUUGGAUUUACAGAAGUUGUUGACGCGAGUUCCUACCAAGAACCUAUUGCUCAAGUUACUAUUCCUUUUUCAGUUAUACCAUCUGACAAGGGCUACUUAUUACAAGUAUCCAAAGCAAAAGUUUUCAUUCCAGUGGCUAAAUGGUGAUUUAUUUUCAAAA